UUUUUAUUCAGAACUCUUCCUAGGAAGGUGGAGACGCGUUAACGACGGGGGGACUCUUCUAACUCAGCGGAAAGAUGCGGUUCUCCCUGACAGCCUCCAUGUUUCUGGCUUUGGGGUUGAUCCUUCCUAACAGAGUGUCGCUUUCUGGACUUCCAGAGGACAUGGAGGGAUCAGGAAAUGACCUGGAAGUUUCUGGUUCUGGAGAGGAUCCAGAUCAUGAAUGGACAAGCAGCAAACCUGGCCCAGAUAUUGUGUUAAACCCAGCAAACGGAAACCCAAAUACUGCCAAGAGCGCUUCCUUUCUUAACACGGGCAGCUCACACAGGCAUGACGGAGACGCUGCACCGAAACUGGUUGUUAUAUCAAACAGCGAGAGUUUACUGGAAAACAAAGAAGUCGCUGCAGCUGCCAUUGCGGGGGGAUUAACAGGAGGAAUAUGUGGAGUUUUGCUAUCAGCGAUGCUAAUCUACAGAUGGAUGAAAAAACACAAAGAAGAAGCUAUUCUCAGUCAGAAAAAGGCUUCAGAUGAAGACUAUCACAAACCGAUCAGGGACGUAUCCAGGUUGGUUUUAAAUGUUUAAAGCCCUGCAGGGUGCCUUCUUCCCUUCUUCUGGAUUGUGGAGAGCUGCUGUGAAAUAAAUUUCUCAAAAGAACUGAAGGAUCAACUUUUUAUUUUCUUGCACUUAAUCAAAAUGCACCGUGCCACCUGAAAGUAUUCAUCUCCUUCAAUUUUUCAACAAUUUGUCAGGUUGUGUUCUGUAAUAAUUUUGAGUCUUACUUCUUUUCUCCCCCCCUUAAAGACCUGCAGUACACUCUACUCCAUGAUGAUGAGGCCAAAACAGAUUUUUAGGAAGAUGCACAAUUGUUUUUUUUUUUUUGGCUUAAAGGUUGUUAAUCCAGUGGUUUAUCAGUAUUCUUGUCCAUCCAUAUUGCUCGUCCAUGCAGGGUCACAGGGGAACUGGUUCCUAUCUUAAGCAGCAGCUGGCAGGUAGGUAGGGUACAUCCUAGACAGGCUGCCAGUCCAGAACAGGGCAACGCAGAGAAAACACGGGACAAACAGCCAUGCACGUUCAAACCUGAGAGCAAUUUUAGAGAAGAACAUUCAGACUCCAUCCCAGCCUGGGAUUUGAACCCAGAACCUUCCAGCUGUGAGUUCAAUCUAGCGUACGUGCCUGAUUGUUAGAGUGCAUUAGCAUUGGCUGACCUUCUGAAUCGUCGUCCUGUAUGCUCAACGUAAUGCUUGGGCUUUGCCUUGGUGUCUGGUUCUGCCUCGUUCACCUGUCUUACCCACACCGUUUCUCCCUGAUUACCCUAGUUAGGUUGGGAAGCCAAAUCUAGGGAGGGUCCCGGUGGUUCUAAAAGUCUUUCAUUUAUGAAUGAUAAAGACCAAGGUGUUUUUAAGGACCUUCAAUGCUGCCAAAUUAGUUUUCGCAUCUUUCUCCCGAUUGUGUUUCUGAACACAAUCUCAGGGAUCUCAGCACCAUUCCUUUGACUUUAUUGCUUGGUUUCUGCUCUGACAUGCACUGUCAACUGUGAGACCUUUCAUAAGCAAGUGUGUUCCUUUCCAAAUCAUGUCCAGUGACCUAAAUUGAGCAAAGGUGGAACCCAGUGAAGCUGUGGAAAUCAGAUGCAGCUAAGAGGAGUUUUAAUUUGCCUAGCAAAUGCAGUGGAUGCGUACUUAAGUACCUACAACAUUUAUCUUUUCUUUACAAAAAUACCGGAAAACAUGUUCUCACUUUGCCACUAUGAUUUUUUUUUUUGUCAAUAUUUGUUUUUAAAAAAAUCAAAUAUUUUUCAGAAUCAGACUAAUAUAAUAAACUGAGUGAAAGAGAAAGGAUGUGAAUACUUCUUGGUGGCUGAUGUGUUUUUGAUCAUUUACCAUUUGUAUCUGUAAACUGACAUUUACUUUGAAUAAUUUAACUUUAUUUUAAGAUGGAUUCAGUCUGUUCCAUAUAAUCCUUGACACUGGUUUGAAACCGGAUGCAAUGCACUAAUUGUCACGAGUCUGUAGUUUCCAUUGUUUUGUUUUCUUUGUAGCAUUUAAUAUAAAAAGCGUAAACAAAUCUGGAAAAAAAUACAAAUUUCUGUGGCAGCUUAUACCUCUUUUUAGAUGUUUGGAAGUUUUUACUACAGAAGAUCUUGAUUUGUAUGUGUUGUCAUUAUAAUAGAACGUUAAUGCUAUCAUCUGCUGCACUUUCCAGAUCUUGUGUUUUUGUUGGUUUUUGCUCACUUACAAACAACUUUUUAGUGUCAUUAAAGUUUGUACUAAGGCUUUAGGUUUUCAUACUACAUAUUUAAUGUAUUAAUUUGUGUAUGGGCUGAUUUAGUACUAUAAGGGCAGUAAAAAAAUAUACUCACCUUUUUUAUUUUGCUAAAAAAUACAAAAUGAGUCUGUAAACCUACUAUGUAAUAGGAUUUUUUUCUCUCCAUGAAAUAAACACUUUAUACACUUUA
RNA transcript from Fundulus heteroclitus (mummichog), 2454 nucleotides. RefSeq lists it as uncharacterized. NCBI's taxonomy places the organism in Eukaryota, Metazoa, Chordata, Actinopteri, Cyprinodontiformes, Fundulidae. The record is from RefSeq and is a predicted model, not a curated record. The transcript is spliced from 5 exons.